This is an RNA transcript of Poecilia reticulata (guppy), 1585 nucleotides long. It is a transcript of the gene named arginine/serine-rich protein 1, with no coding region annotated. NCBI's taxonomy places the organism in Eukaryota, Metazoa, Chordata, Actinopteri, Cyprinodontiformes, Poeciliidae. The record is from RefSeq and is a predicted model, not a curated record.
CUGCAGUCUCAUCGUCAUUCGAGUAACGACGACUGGAGGAUCAACAUUAGAGGACACGUUUUGUUCUUUUUUCAGCAUUUGGAAACAAGACAAUAUAUCUGAUAGCUUUUUAGCAGAUCUUCUACUCUCGCGCCUUGUGAAAACAAACGUUUAAGUGUUUUCUACAUAGUAGCCGUUUCUGUCGACGUUUUUAUAAGGAGACCAACCAGCUACAUUUUAACUGGGUUCGGCAGAAAAACCUAGAGAUGGCUACACAGGUUGACUCUCACGCUGAUAUGGCACAGGCUCGCCAGAGCGACGGCAUCAAUGUGAUCUUCGACCAGAAGAGCCCAGGCUCUUCACACUCCCGAUCUCGCUCGCGAUCCGUUAGCAGCUCUGCCAGCAGCCGUUCCACCGGUUCUGACUACAGAGGGCGUAAAAGCCGCUGUCGACGCAACAGGUCUUCAUCCUCCUCAUCUUCAUCUUCUUGCAGGAGCGGGUCAUCCUCUAGCUCCAGGUCCCGUUCCAGGUCCCGAUCCUAUCCGCGAUGCCACCGACAUUCUUCCCGCUGUAGAUGUGAUAACCACCGCAGUUAUGGCGGCUACCGCCGGUCCCCACCCAGGCGCUACAGGGCACACUCUCGCUCCUUCAGUCGGUCCCCACCCCGCCGCUAUAGGGGACGUUCUCGCUCCUACAGCCGAUCCCCACCACGCCACUACAGGGCUCGUUCCCGCUCCUACACACGCUCCCCGGUAUCAGACAGAUAUUCCCGCCAUCGCAGAAGCUAUAGGUCCAGGUCCCGUUCUUGGUCUCCAGCACGCUGGAGUAGGUACAGGAGACCAGCAAGUCAGCUGAGAUGCAGAUUCUCUCGAUCUCCUUCCAUGCCCUACAGGGGGCGAUCGCGAUCCAGGUCAUCUGGACGUUCUGUCAGUUUAAGCCUGCGUGACAAAAGGGAACUCCUUGAAGUUGCCAAGGCCAAUGCUAUGCGAAUGCUUGGAGUGGAGAAGCUGGACCUUCCUGAAAGUGUGAAGCCUAUCCUGUCAGAGCAGCCAGCAACCAGAAGUUCUUCACCAGAGCCUGUUACAGGGGUGAGGCAUGGCUCCCAAAAGACUCAUUUAGACGUGAGUGUUUUUACUAAUGAUAAAAAAUAUGCUAUAGAAGAAAUUGCCUCCUCGGUCACUGAGAAAUUCUUUGUAAAUUCUUUUUCUUUCUUUCUCGUAGCUACAGUACAUUGCUAUUGGCUUGGUGAAAGUUGCAUAGAAGUAACUAUUUUUAAAUUUUUUAUUUUUUUUUUAGAUUUAGGUUCCUUACAUGAUUUUUUUUCUUGAGAGCACACCAAAUGUACUACCUGCUCUUGGUCUAGUUUCUUUUUCUUUAUUUCCUGUCUUUUGUUAACCUGACCCAUGAGGGAACACACCUGCUCUCUGUAUUUAUUCCUGUCUUCAUAGAUAACAUGACAGUGGUCUCCUUCACUCAUCGGCACCUGGGAUUAAAAGGCUGUCAUGUGACAUGGAUGAAAUGGGUUAUUGUUACUUGGCAGAAUCUGCCACUCGCUGAAGGAGCACAGGUGUGUGGACUACAUUAUAAUGACUAUUCCAGUCAAGAC